AGUGAACGCUGGCGGUAGGCCUAACACAUGCAAGUCGAACGGCAGCACAGUAAGAGCUUGCUCUUACGGGUGGCGAGUGGCGGACGGGUGAGAAAUACAUCGGAAUCUACUUUUUCGUGGGGGAUAACGUAGGGAAACUUACGCUAAUACCGCAUACGACCUAAGGGUGAAAGCAGGGGAUCUUCGGACCUUGCGCGAUUGAAUGAGCCGAUGUCGGAUUAGCUAGUUGGCGGGGUAAAGGCCCACCAAGGCGACGAUCCGUAGCUGGUCUGAGAGGAUGAUCAGCCACACUGGAACUGAGACACGGUCCAGACUCCUACGGGAGGCAGCAGUGGGGAAUAUUGGACAAUGGGCGCAAGCCUGAUCCAGCCAUACCGCGUGUGUGAAGAAGGCCUUCGGGUUGUAAAGCCCUUUUGUUGGGAAAGAAAAGCAGCAGGUUAAUACCCCGCUGUUCUGACGGUACCCAAAGAAUAAGCACCGGCUAACUUCGUG
Molecule: ribosomal RNA, 492 nt
Filed under: uncultured bacterium
Lineage: Bacteria
Description: partial 16S ribosomal RNA
Rfam family: Bacterial small subunit ribosomal RNA
Source: RNAcentral